AUGCUCGCUUUGGCAGCACUUACACUAAAACUGAAUCAAUACAGAGAAGAUUAGCAUGGCCCGUGUGCAAGGAUGACAUGUGAAUUUGUGAUAUGUUCCGUAUUUUU
Small nuclear RNA from Leptonychotes weddellii (Weddell seal), 107 nucleotides. Lineage: Eukaryota; Metazoa; Chordata; Mammalia; Carnivora; Phocidae. The record is from RefSeq and is a predicted model, not a curated record.